Molecule: ribosomal RNA, 465 nt
Filed under: Vreelandella stevensii
Lineage: Bacteria; Pseudomonadati; Pseudomonadota; Gammaproteobacteria; Oceanospirillales; Halomonadaceae
Description: partial 16S ribosomal RNA
Rfam family: Bacterial small subunit ribosomal RNA
Source: RNAcentral
CCUUCGGGAGGCAGCAGUGGGGAAUAUUGGACAAUGGGGGCAACCCUGAUCCAGCCAUGCCGCGUGUGUGAAGAAGGCCCUCGGGUUGUAAAGCACUUUCAGUGAGGAAGAACGCCUGGUGGUUAAUACCCAUCAGGAAAGACAUCACUCACAGAAGAAGCACCGGCUAACUCCGUGCCAGCAGCCGCGGUAAUACGGAGGGUGCGAGCGUUAAUCGGAAUUACUGGGCGUAAAGCGCGCGUAGGUGGCUUGAUAAGCCGGUUGUGAAAGCCCCGGGCUCAACCUGGGAACGGCAUCCGGAACUGUCAAGCUAGAGUGCAGGAGAGGAAGGUAGAAUUCCCGGUGUAGCGGUGAAAUGCGUAGAGAUCGGGAGGAAUACCAGUGGCGAAGGCGGCCUUCUGGACUGACACUGACACUGAGGUGCGAAAGCGUGGGUAGCAAACAGGAUUAGAUACCCCUGUAGUC